GAUGAAGAACGUAGUGAAAUGCGAUAAGUAGUGUGAAUUGCAGAAUUCAGUGAAUCAUCGAAUCUUUGAACGCACAUUGCGCCCGCUAGUAUUCUGGCGGGCAUGCCUGUUCGAGCGUCAUUUCAACCAUCAAGCCCUGUUUAGGCUUGUGUUGGGGCCCUGCGGCUGCCGCAGCCCCCUAAAUGCAGUGGCGGGCUCGUUGUCACUCCGAGCGCAGUAGCGUAUCUCGCUCUGGGCGUGGCGGCGGGUGCUAGCCGUGAAACACCCACUAAGGUUGACCUCGGAUCAGGUAGGAAUACCCGCUGAACUUAAGCAUAUCAAUAAGCGGAGGA
RNAcentral lists this unclassified non-coding RNA (332 nucleotides) under soil metagenome. RNAcentral's name for it is "partial contains 5.8S ribosomal RNA, internal transcribed spacer 2, and large subunit ribosomal RNA". The stretch from base 1 to 120 matches the Rfam family "5.8S ribosomal RNA", at positions 35 to 154 of the family's 154-position model. The record is from RNAcentral.